This 464-nucleotide ribosomal RNA is filed under the name Vreelandella stevensii. Its description in RNAcentral is "partial 16S ribosomal RNA". It matches the Rfam family "Bacterial small subunit ribosomal RNA", at positions 339 to 795 of the family's 1533-position model. Lineage: Bacteria; Pseudomonadati; Pseudomonadota; Gammaproteobacteria; Oceanospirillales; Halomonadaceae. The record is from RNAcentral.
CUACGGGGGGCUGCAGUGGGGAAUAUUGGACAAUGGGCGAAAGCCUGAUCCAGCCAUGCCGCGUGUGUGAAGAAGGCCUUCGGGUUGUAAAGCACUUUCAGUGGGGAAGAAAGCCUUGGGGCUAAUACCCUCGAGGAAGGACAUCACCCACAGAAGAAGCACCGGCUAACUCCGUGCCAGCAGCCGCGGUAAUACGGAGGGUGCGAGCGUUAAUCGGAAUUACUGGGCGUAAAGCGCGCGUAGGCGGUCUGAUAAGCCGGUUGUGAAAGCCCCGGGCUCAACCUGGGAACGGCAUCCGGAACUGUCAGGCUAGAGUGCAGGAGAGGAAGGUAGAAUUCCCGGUGUAGCGGUGAAAUGCGUAGAGAUCGGGAGGAAUACCAGUGGCGAAGGCGGUCUUCUGGACUGACACUGACGCUGAGGUGCGAAAGCGUGGGUAGCAAACAGGAUUAGAUACCCUAGUAGUC